CAAGACAAAAACAAUGGAAGCCCUGCCUCUCAACCAUCCUUGCAGCUCCUAAGCUGCGCCAGUGUGAAUUUGUCUUUUCGAAAUGAG
Molecule: small RNA, 87 nt
Filed under: Saccharococcus thermophilus
Lineage: Bacteria; Bacillati; Bacillota; Bacilli; Caryophanales; Anoxybacillaceae
Description: BsrC
Rfam family: BsrC
About the family: The 301 nucleotide sequence from Kouji Nakamura has been trimmed to a highly conserved ~85 nucleotide long core to form this family.
Source: RNAcentral